Molecule: ribosomal RNA, 254 nt
Filed under: uncultured bacterium
Lineage: Bacteria
Description: partial 16S ribosomal RNA
Rfam family: Bacterial small subunit ribosomal RNA
Source: RNAcentral
UACGGGGGGAGCAAGCGUUGUUCGGAUUUACUGGGCGUAAAGGGCGCGUAGGCGGUCGUGACAAGUCACUUGUGAAAUCUCCGGGCUUAACUCGGAACGGUCAAGUGAUACUGUCGGACUAGAGUACAGAAGGGGCAACUGGAAUUCUCGGUGUAGCGGUGAAAUGCGUAGAUAUCGAGAGGAACACCUGCGGCGAAGGCGGGUUGCUGGGCUGAUACUGACGCUGAGGCGCGAAAGCUAGGGGAGCGAACAGG